Non-coding RNA from Biomphalaria glabrata, 57 nucleotides. The record is from Rfam. NCBI's taxonomy places the organism in Eukaryota, Metazoa, Mollusca, Gastropoda, Planorbidae.
UGGCUGAGCAGUAAAGCACUUGGCUUCUGAACUGGGUGUCCCAGGUUCAAAUCCUGG